RNAcentral lists this ribosomal RNA (164 nucleotides) under uncultured marine bacterium. RNAcentral's name for it is "partial 16S ribosomal RNA". It matches the Rfam family "Bacterial small subunit ribosomal RNA", at positions 340 to 524 of the family's 1533-position model. The record is from RNAcentral.
UACGGGAGCAGCAGUGGGGAUCUUGCACAAUGGAGGAACUCUGAUGCAGCGAUGCCGCGUGAGUGAAGAAGGCCCUUGGGUUGUAAAGCUCUUUUGUCGGGAAAGAUAAUGACUGUACCCGAAGAAUAAGGUCCGGCUAACUUCGUGCCAGCAGCCGCGGUAAU